AACUGUAAGACUGGAGUGUAGAAGGGGAGACUGGAAUUCCGCGUGUAGGGGUGAAAUCUGUAGGUAUGCGGAAGAAUACCUGUGGCGAAGGCGAGUCUCUGGUCUACAACUGACACUGAAAUGCGAAAGUGUGGGGAGCAAACAGGAUUAGAUACCCUGGUAGUCCACACUGUAAACGUUGUACACUAGGCGUUAGGGAUUUAAUCUUCUAGUGCCGAAGCUAACGCGUUAAGUGUACCGCCUGGGGAGUAUGCUCGCAAGGGUGAAACUCAAAGGAAUCGACGGGGGCCCGCACAAGCGGUGGAGCAUGUGGUUUAAUUCGAUGAUACGCGAAGAACCUUACCAGGGCUUGACAUCUAUCUGACAGGGGUAGAGGUAUCCCGUUCCUUUUAGGACAGAUAGACAGGUGCUGCAUGGCUGUCGUCAGCUCGUGUUGUGAGAUGUUGGGUUAAGUCCCGCAACGAGCGCAACCCUUACUGCUAGUUGCCAUCUGGUAAACAGGGCACUUUAGCGGAACUGCCGGUGACAAAUCGGAGGAAGGUGGGGAUGACGUCAAGUCCUCAUGGCCCUUAUGUCCUGGGCUACACACGUGCUACAAUGGGCUGUACAAAGGGUAGCAAUACCGCGAUGUGGAGCCAAUCCCAAAAAACAGUCCGUAGUUCAGAUUGGAGUCUG
RNAcentral lists this ribosomal RNA (675 nucleotides) under uncultured Spirochaetota bacterium. RNAcentral describes it as "bacterial SSU rRNA". It matches the Rfam family "Bacterial small subunit ribosomal RNA", at positions 631 to 1307 of the family's 1533-position model. Lineage: Bacteria; Pseudomonadati; Spirochaetota. The record is from RNAcentral.